Cebus imitator (Panamanian white-faced capuchin) is the source of this 1493-nucleotide long non-coding RNA. RefSeq lists it as uncharacterized. Lineage: Eukaryota; Metazoa; Chordata; Mammalia; Primates; Cebidae. The transcript has 4 exons. The record is from RefSeq and is a predicted model, not a curated record.
AGCAACUGGAUUUGCAGCAGAAACACUCUGCUACAGAACAAGUGUCUUGGUUCACAGCAAAGAGGACAAAGAAAACAGCAAGUUUUAGGGGGUUGAAUCCUGGAUUGUUCUUACCCAGUGGCUCUGCAGCACCUCAUGUUGUUGAUUCUAGAAUGAAACAGACAAAACUUUGAUGUCCAAAGAUCACAUAACAGGUGGUGAUCAGAUGGGCGUAAAAGAUGAAAAAAAGAGAGAAUGCAUGGCAACAAAUGGUGCUGCUCUCUGUGCAAAAACUAAGGCCCUAUGACCAUGAAUGGAGCCAGAGGGAAGGUUGGAGCAGAUCGUUUGCUCCAGGGGAAGCCAGCUGCCAUGGCUUGCACACAGUCAACCCCCUGGAGAGGUUCCUGUGGUAAGGAACCAGGGCUCCUGGCAAUAACUUCUGAGUGAGCCACCUUGAGAAUGGAUUUUCCAGCCCAGUCAAGCUUUUAGAUGACUGUGACCUCUCCCAGUAUCUUUACUCAACUUCUGGAGAUCCCAAGCUACAACCCCUCAGUUAAGCUAUUCCAAAAUUCCUGACUCACAGAAACUGAGAUACAAUAAAGGUCACAGUUAAGCUCUUGAUGUUCUAUCUUAUUCCAUCAAAUAGGAACUUCAUCUUUUGAGAAGCACCAGGGAGAGCAGCCUAUGCCUGGCGGAAGCUGCCCAUGCCCCACUGAUACACAGUACUUCCUGUUCUGCUCAGUACUCCUGCUUUUUUCUGCAAACAACUGUGAUUCUCCACCUGGGAGCUUCCUCUGGCCACAGGAGCCUGCUUACCUGAAUUGGACACCCCAGAAGUACUGGUGAGUUAUAGCUUCCAGAAGCAGCUCUCUUCCAGUGAAGGAAAGGGCUGGCAGAAAAUUACUUCAGCUGCCUCUGCUCGUAUGUGGAGCAGUGUUAAGACACGCUCCACGCAGUAACUCAGGGCUCCCAGCAAGAUAAAGCCCCACUUGUGCACAGUAGUAAGUUGCCCAUGGAUGCCGGCAUCACCUUCCUUCCCUGCUGUGCCUCACUUCCCACUCCUCUGCCAGUGCUUCCUGGAAUCAUCUCCCUCAUCAAUCAUCUGUUCCUAAAUUCUGUCUGAGUCUGUUUCUGAGGAAACCCAACCUGAGUCAUUAUCCCUCUUCCCCUCUCACACUCGCUUCACUGGGGGAGGAUGGAUUAAGUUGAUUGGUGACUUUGGGUGAAGGAGUUUGCAUUGGGAGUAUGUGACUCAGGUGAGGUUGGGCUCUCUUUCUUCAGAGCGAAGUGCAUUCAGAUUCGAUAUGUAUCCUGUCUUCAGGAAGCCCUAUGCUCUGCUCAUCCAACAGCAUGAUUACGAAGGUACGCUCUGCCUUUGCAAGGGGAAGGCCUGAGAUUUGCAGUUGGCAAGCUCAGUGGGAGCUGGAUGUUUUAUGUAACUUGACUGUGGAUAUAGAUCAAUCAUGCUUUUCAAUUCAGUCCUCCUCUCUCUAAUAAACUGCUGUCAUGAGCCC